Molecule: ribosomal RNA, 468 nt
Filed under: uncultured bacterium
Lineage: Bacteria
Description: partial 16S ribosomal RNA
Rfam family: Bacterial small subunit ribosomal RNA
Source: RNAcentral
GAUGAACGCUGGCGGCGUGCUUAACACAUGCAAGUCGAACGGAAAGGCCCUGCUUUUGUGGGGUGCUCGAGUGGCGAACGGGUGAGUAACACGUGUGUAACCUGCCCUUGACUUUGGGAUAACUUCAGGAAACUGGGGCUAAUAUCGGAUAGGAGCUCCUGCUGCAUGGUGGGGGUUGGAAAGUUUCGGCGGUUGGGGAUGGACUCGCGGCUUACCAGCUUGUUGGUGGGGUAGUGGCUUACCAAGGCUUUGACGGGUAGGCGGCCUGGGAGGGUGACCGGGCACCAUGGGACUAAGGGACGGCCCAGACUCCAACGGGAGGCAGCAGUGGGGAGUAUUGCACAAUGGGCGGGAGCCUGAUGCAGCAGCGCCGCGUGCGGGAUGCCGGCCUUCGGGUUGAAAACCGCUUUCGCCUGUGACGAAGCGGGAGUGACGGUAAUGAGUAAAGAAGCACCGGCUAACUACGUG